Molecule: ribosomal RNA, 440 nt
Filed under: uncultured bacterium
Lineage: Bacteria
Description: partial 16S ribosomal RNA
Rfam family: Bacterial small subunit ribosomal RNA
Source: RNAcentral
CCUACGGGUGGCAGCAGUGGGGAAUAUUGCACAAUGGGGGGAACCCUGAUGCAGCGACGCCGCGUGAGUGAAGAAGUAUUUCGGUAUGUAAAGCUUUAUCAGCAGGGAAGAAAAUGACGGUACCUGACUACGAAGCCCCGGCUAACUACGUGCCAGCAGCGGCGGCAAUACGUAGGGGGCAAGCGUUAUCCGGAUUUACUGGGUGUAAAGGGAGAGUAGACGGCUGUGCAAGUCUGGAGUGAAUGGCGUGGGCCCAACCCCCGGACUGCUCUGGAAACUGUAAAGCUGGAGUGCAGGAGAGGUAAGCGGAAUUCCUAGUGUAGCGGUGAAAUGCGUAGAUAUUAGGAGGAACACCAGUGGCGAAGGCAGCUUACUGGACUGCAACUGACGUUGAGGCUCGAAAGCGUGGGGAGCAAACAGGAUUAGAUACCCCUGUAGUC